GAAGUGACGCUGGCGGCGGGAGGCUGUGUGUCCCGAGGCGCGAGUGUGUGGGGAGCGAGCUCAGAAGCCGAGAGCGGCUGACGAGGCGCUGCCAGCCGACUGCCAGGGCGGCCGACUCGACGCCCCGGAACGGCUUCCGGCGGAAAGGACUCUCCGUUACGCCGGGAUCCGAUCCUACCGGAAGAGUUUUACCCGUUCUGGCUUGCUGGCUGUGGUGCUGAGGAAAAACUAUGAUUGGAUGGAGUGUGCUUCUUUUUUUCUAGAAGAUUCCAUGAAGCUUCCCAGCAACUCUUUCAUUUCCUCCUCGUUACUGUCUGGAACAUCCAGUUUUCUAUUAAAUACUUGGACUUUAUCCCGUGAGAUGUAUCUACUUAUCAAGACAAGUUCUGCAGGAGAAAUAUCUAAAUCAACCUCCAAUAUUAGUGGGACCAGAAAGUCUGAUGGAACGGAGGGAAAGUUGUAAACCUGAAGGCUCUACCGACUGGGAUGUGCUCCUCCACAGUUUCCUACCACCCAGAGCCGAGUACACCUUAACACAAGAAUGGAAACUGAACCAACAGUGGGUCAGGAAGUCCAGAUUUAGUGUACAUUCAUAAAUAUUUGUCACUGUUUGUAGAAAAAUAAAAAUAUGACCGAUUCUAAGUUAA
Molecule: long non-coding RNA, 647 nt
Organism: Felis catus (domestic cat)
Lineage: Eukaryota; Metazoa; Chordata; Mammalia; Carnivora; Felidae
Exons: 3
Source: RefSeq, a predicted model, not a curated record